GGGGAAUUCGUAUAGCGGCAGUACGGCGCCUCCGCACGGCGCAAACGAGAGUUCGAUCCUCUCAUUCUCCA
This 71-nucleotide transfer RNA is filed under the name Clostridia bacterium. Its description in RNAcentral is "tRNA-Ala". It matches the Rfam family "tRNA". From Rfam's summary of the family: Transfer RNA (tRNA) molecules are approximately 80 nucleotides in length. Lineage: Bacteria; Bacillati; Bacillota; Clostridia. The record is from RNAcentral.